This 465-nucleotide ribosomal RNA is filed under the name uncultured bacterium. RNAcentral's name for it is "partial 16S ribosomal RNA". It matches the Rfam family "Bacterial small subunit ribosomal RNA", at positions 28 to 507 of the family's 1533-position model. The record is from RNAcentral.
GACGAACGCUGGCGGCGUGCUUAACACAUGCAAGUCGUACGGUAAGGCCCUUUCGGGGGUACACGAGUGGCGCACGGGUGCGUAACACGUGAGUAACCUGCCCACAACUUUGGGAUAACGCUAGGAAACUGGUGCUAAUACUGGAUAUGUGCUCCUGCUGCAUGGUGGGGGUUGGAAAGCUCCGGCGGUUGUGGAUGGACUCGCGGCCUAUCAGCUUGUUGGUGGGGUAGUGGCCUACCAAGGCGGCGACGGGUAGCCGGCCUGAGAGGGUGACCGGCCACAGUGGGACUGAGAGACGGCCCAGACUCCUACGGGAGGCAGCAGUGGGGAAUAUUGCACAAUGGGCACAAGCCUGAUGCAGCAACGCCGCGUGCGGGAUGACGGCCUUCGGGUUGGAAACCGCUUUCAGCAGGGACGAAGCUUUUUGUGACGGUACCUGCAGAAGAAGCACUGGCUAACUACGUG